Molecule: long non-coding RNA, 415 nt
Organism: Hipposideros armiger (great roundleaf bat)
Lineage: Eukaryota; Metazoa; Chordata; Mammalia; Chiroptera; Hipposideridae
Exons: 3
Source: RefSeq, a predicted model, not a curated record
CCCUCCCAACUCACAGCUAGAGGCUUUAAGCAACCUGAUAAGGAUGCUGGAGUGUGACAAAAAGAAAGAACGCCUGGAGGGGUUCCCUUCAAAUGACAGUGAAUUUCACAUCUGAAAUCAUGGAGUGCAGAAAUAUGUCUCCUUGGGCAAGGGAAACAAAAGAAAAAGUGAACAAAUGGGACAUCCUCAAACUAAGGACAUUUUGCACAGUGAAGGAAACCAUCAACAAAAAAUGAAAAGACAACCUACUGAAUGGAAGAAGAUACUCACCAAUGAUACAUCGGUUAAGGGGUUAAUAUCCAAAAUAUAUAAGGAAUUCAUAUAACUUAACACAAGCAAACAAUUACAUUAAGAAGUGGGCAGAGGACCUGAAUAGACAUUUUUUCAAAGAAGACAUACAGAUGUUCAAUAGACA